GACGAACGCUGGCGGCGUGCUUAACACAUGCAAGUCGAACGGAAAGGCCCUGCUUUUGUGGGGUGCUCGAGUGGCGAACGGGUGAGUAACACGUGAGUAACCUGCCCUUGACUUUGGGAUAACUUCAGGAAACUGGGGCUAAUACCGGAUAGGAGCUCCUGCUGCAUGGUGGGGGUUGGAAAGUUUCGGCGGUUGGGGAUGGACUCGCGGCUUAUCAGCUUGUUGGUGGGGUAGUGGCUUACCAAGGCUUUGACGGGCAGCCGGCCUGAGAGGGUGACCGGCAACAUGGGGACUGAGAUACGGCCCGAACUCCUACGGGAGGCAGCAGGGGGGAAUAUGGCACAAUGGGCGGAGGCCGGAUGCAGAAACGCGGGGGGGGGGAGGACGGCUUUCGGGUUGUAAACGGUUUUGGCCGGGGAGGAGGGGUGAGUGAGGGUAAUGGGUAAAGAAGCACCGGCUAAUUACGU
This 467-nucleotide ribosomal RNA is filed under the name uncultured bacterium. RNAcentral describes it as "partial 16S ribosomal RNA". It matches the Rfam family "Bacterial small subunit ribosomal RNA", at positions 28 to 506 of the family's 1533-position model. The record is from RNAcentral.